GAUGAACGCUGGCGGCGUGCCUCAAACAUGCAAGUCGAGCGGGGCUAUGUAAUAUCGCAAGGUAGAACAUAGCCUAGCGGCGAACGGGUGAGUAACACGUGGGUAACCUGCCUGGAAGACAGGGAUAACGAUUCGAAAGGGUCGCUAAUACCUGAUAAUAUCCUUUCAUCGCAUGGUGAUAGGAAGAAAGGGGAAACCCGCUUUCAGAUGGGCCCGCGUCCCAUCAGCUAGUUGGUAAGGUAAAGGCUUACCAAGGCGACGACGGGUAGCCGGUCUGAGAGGAUGUACGGCCACACUGGGACUGAGAUACGGCCCAGACUCCUACGGGAGGCAGCAGUUGGGAAUCUUAGGCAAUGGACGAAAGUCUGACCUAGCGACGCCGCGUGAGGGAAGAAGGCCUUCGGGUUGUAAACCUCUGUCAUGGGGAAGAAGUAAGUGACGGUACCCCAAGAGGAAGCCCCUGCUAACUACGUGCCAGCAGCCCGCGGUAAGAGUACUCUAU
Molecule: ribosomal RNA, 502 nt
Filed under: uncultured bacterium
Lineage: Bacteria
Description: bacterial SSU rRNA
Rfam family: Bacterial small subunit ribosomal RNA
Source: RNAcentral